This 459-nucleotide ribosomal RNA is filed under the name uncultured bacterium. RNAcentral describes it as "partial 16S ribosomal RNA". It matches the Rfam family "Bacterial small subunit ribosomal RNA", at positions 338 to 795 of the family's 1533-position model. The record is from RNAcentral.
CCUACGGGUGGCAGCAGUGAGGAAUAUUGGUCAAUGGUCGGGAGACUGAACCAGCCAAGCCGCGUGAGGGAUGAAGGUACAGAGUACCGUAAACCUCUUUUGUCAGGGAACAAAGGCGGGGACGUGUCCCCGGAUGAGUGUACCUGAAGAAAAAGCAUCGGCUAACUCCGUGCCAGCAGCCGCGGUAAUACGGAGGAUGCGAGCGUUAUCCGGAUUUAUGGGGUUUAAGGGGUGCGCAGGCGGUCUGUUAAGUCAGCGGUCAAAGCCCGGGGCUCACCCCCGGCCCGCCGUGGAAACUGGCAGUCUCGAGUUGGAGAGAGGUAGGCGGAAUGCGCGGUGUAGCGGUGAAAUGCAUAGAUAUCGCGCAGAACUCCGAUUGCGAAGGCAGCAUGCCGGCUCCACACUGACGCUGAGGCACGAAAGCGUGGGUAUCGAACAGGAUUAGAUACCCCAGUAGUC